CGGUGGUGGAGCGGCGGUGUGUCAGUGGCGGCUCUGAGCUCAAGCAAAGGCGGCAGCACUGCUAGGGUUUAGGCGACGGUGGCGGCUGCGACUUUGAAAGAGGAGUCAAGGGGGUCACGGGUGCCUUUUAAAGGAGGAAUUUCGAUAUUUGACACUCAAUCCGAUUGCCUCACUGUUUUUGACAUUCAAUUCGAUCGAUCUUUGAAAUUUGACAUCAAGACCACAAAUUUCUUCAAUCCAGGGGAUUUUCCCCUUUUUCCAUCUUUUCAUUUACUUUUCUUAUUUCUUAAUCUUUAUUUCACAUGAUACUGGACACAUUUGCCCCUAGCCUUAUCUAUCUCUUCUUCCUAUGUCGUGAAGUUGAGCCCAGACUGUUCUCCUCUCCCUCGUGUUCCCUCUCUUGCAAGAACAGGCCACCGGCCCAGCUGCCGCCGCUCCCCAUCCAUCGUAGGAGUUGGAGCCCCCAAACCUUGAUGGCUGAUUUUGGGCACAACGGUGCCGUGAAUUGCCAUGAUCCCCUUUGAGGUUCCUCCCAGGAAGAGCCGUGCCAAACCAGGAAGGCCAUUGGGUUCUGCUUCCAACAAAGCUGAUGCAAGCACCAGUACACCCAAACGGAAGAAAGUUGCAAGGGAUGAUGCUGCACUGAACACUAGUCCUGCAAUGAACACUAGAAGGCAACUGGCCCUAAGCAAGCAAGCUGAAGCAGGGACAAGUCAGGAGGUUAGCACCACACCGAAUAUGGAAGUAGCUACUCCAACAAAAAAAUAAUCUAUCAAAAAGAAGCUGGACUCAAGGAAGGGAAAGAAAUAGAUGCCGUGGUGGAACUUUCUUAGAAUCUUUUGUUGGAACUGUAUGCCUGCUUUUGUUGGAAGUUAGGAAACUAUGAACCUGUAAUCUUAUUUAGCUUAACUACUGGAUGAUGUAUGCGUGCUUUUGAUGGAAGUUAGGAAACUAUGAACCUGUAAUCUUAUUUAGCUCAAUUACUAGAUGACGUAUGAAUUUCUGGACAAAUUUGGUUCCCAAA
This is a long non-coding RNA of Panicum virgatum (switchgrass), 1024 nucleotides long. RefSeq lists it as uncharacterized. The record is from RefSeq and is a predicted model, not a curated record. The transcript is spliced from 3 exons. Lineage: Eukaryota; Viridiplantae; Streptophyta; Magnoliopsida; Poales; Poaceae.